This 254-nucleotide ribosomal RNA is filed under the name uncultured bacterium. RNAcentral describes it as "partial 16S ribosomal RNA". It matches the Rfam family "Bacterial small subunit ribosomal RNA", at positions 524 to 776 of the family's 1533-position model. The record is from RNAcentral.
CACGUAGGCACCAAGCGUUGUCCGGAUUUAUUGGGCGUAAAGAGCUCGUAGGCGGUUCAGUAAGUCGGGUGCGAAAACUCUGGGCUUAACCCAGAGCCGCCACCCGAUACUGCUGUGACUAGAGUCCGGUAGGGGAGUGGGGAAUUCCUAGUGUAGCGGUGAAAUGCGCAGAUAUUAGGAGGAACACCGGUGGCGAAGGCGCCACUCUGGGCCGGAACUGACGCUGAGGAGCGAAAGCGUGGGUAGCAAACAGG